GAUGAACGCUGGCGGCGUGCCUAAUACAUGCAAGUCGAGCGAACGGACGAGAAGCUUGCUUCUCUGAUGUUAGCGGCGGACGGGUGAGUAACACGUGGAUAACCUACCUAUAAGACUGGGAUAACUUCGGGAAACCGGAGCUAAUACCGGAUAAUAUUUUGAACCGCAUGGUUCAAAAGUGAAAGACGGUCUUGCUGUCACUUAUAGAUGGAUCCGCGCUGCAUUAGCUAGUUGGUAAGGUAACGGCUUACCAAGGCAACGAUGCAUAGCCGACCUGAGAUGGUGAUCGGCCACACUGGAACUGAGACACGGUCCAGACUCCUACGGGAGGCAGCAGUAGGGAAUCUUCAGCAAUGGGCGAAAGCCUGACGGAGCAACGCCGCGUGAGUGAUGAAGGUCUUCGGAUCGUAAAACUCUGUUAUUAGGGAAGAACAUAUGUGUAAGUAACUGUGCGCAUCUUGACGGUACCUAAUCAGAAAGCCACGGCUAACUACGUG
RNAcentral lists this ribosomal RNA (497 nucleotides) under uncultured bacterium. Its description in RNAcentral is "partial 16S ribosomal RNA". It matches the Rfam family "Bacterial small subunit ribosomal RNA", at positions 28 to 507 of the family's 1533-position model. The record is from RNAcentral.